This 243-nucleotide non-coding RNA is filed under the name Enterococcus durans. RNAcentral describes it as "T-box sequence". It matches the Rfam family "T-box leader". From Rfam's summary of the family: Uncharged tRNA acts as the effector for transcription antitermination of genes in the T-box leader family. The record is from RNAcentral. Lineage: Bacteria; Bacillati; Bacillota; Bacilli; Lactobacillales; Enterococcaceae.
UUAAACACGUUGAACAGAAAGAAGUAGGUAAUCGUUGAUUUCAAGAGAGGCGACGGCUGGUGAAAGUCGCUAAUCAAUUUUUACUGAAAUGCCUCUGGGAGUGGUCUUGACGAACAUUGAAUCAGAAGAGUUUUUCGCUUCUUUCAGUAAGGUAGUCAGGGACGUAAACGCGAACGUUAUCCGUCAAAGGUAAUCGUGUUUGAUUAUAAAGAAAAGUGGAACCACGCAAGUAGCGUCUUUUAA